This 225-nucleotide unclassified non-coding RNA is filed under the name Hevea brasiliensis (rubber tree). The record is from RNAcentral. Lineage: Eukaryota; Viridiplantae; Streptophyta; Magnoliopsida; Malpighiales; Euphorbiaceae.
AAACAGAGUAUGCUGUCAAUGUUGUCAAGCAUAUUUUUGAUAGACAUGUUGUCUUUCAAUACAACUGCACAAAUACAAUUCCUGAGCAGCUACUAGAAAAUGUCAAUGUUAUUGUGGAUGCUUCAGAAGCAGAGGAAUUCGCGGAAGUAGUGUCCAAGCCGCUCAGAUCUCUUCCUUACAAUUCACCUGGGCAAACCUUUGUGGCAUUUGAGAAGCCAGAUGGAG